AACGAACGCUGGCGGCAUGCCUAACACAUGCAAGUCGAACGAGACCUUCGGGUCUAGUGGCGCACGGGUGCGUAACGCGUGGGAACCUGCCCUUGGGUUCGGUAUAACUCCCCGAAAGGGGUGCUAAUACCGGAUAAUGUCUUCGGACCAAAGAUGUAUGGCCUUUGGAUGGGCCCGCGUUGGAUUCGCUAGUUGGUAGGGUAAAAGCCUACCAACGGGACGAUGCAUAGCUGGUCUGUUAGGAUGAUCAGCCACACUGGGACUGAGACACGGACCAGACUCCUACGGGAGGCAGCAGUGGGGAAUAUUGUACAAUGAGCGAAAGCCUGAUCCAGCAGUGCCGCGGGAGUGAUGAAGGCCUUAGGGUUGUAAAGCUCUUUUACACGGGAUGAUAAUGACAGUACCGGGAGAAUAAGCUCCGGCUAACUCCGUG
This 433-nucleotide ribosomal RNA is filed under the name uncultured bacterium. RNAcentral's name for it is "partial 16S ribosomal RNA". It matches the Rfam family "Bacterial small subunit ribosomal RNA", at positions 29 to 507 of the family's 1533-position model. The record is from RNAcentral.